GGUUUGAUGAGGAACUAGGCACGCGAACAAGUAGGCCGGGACACGUGAAAUCCUGGUUGAAGAUGGGUGGACCAUCAUCCAAGGCUAAAUACUACUUACUGACCGAUAGUGAACCAGUACCGUGAGGGAAAGGUGAAAAGAACCCCGGAGAGGGGAGUGAAAUAGAAUCUGAAACCGUUUGCGUACAAGCAGUGGGAGCAUAGUUUAGGCUGUGUGACUGCGUACCUUUUGUAUAAUGGGUCAGCGAGUUACUUUCAGUGGCGAGGUUAACUGAAUAAGGGAGCCGUAGAGAAAUCGAGUCUGAAUAGGGCGAUAGUCGCUGGGAGUAGACCCGAAACCGGGCGAUCUAGCCAUGUGCAGGAUGAAGGUUGGGUAACACCAACUGGAGGUCCGAACCGGGUAAUGUUGAAAAAUUAUCGGAUGACGUGUGGCUAGGAGUGAAAGGCUAAUCAAGCCCGGAGAUAGCUGGUUCUCCCCGAAAGCUAUUUAGGUAGCGCCUCGUGAAUGAUUACUGGGGGUAGAGCACUGUUUCGGCUAGGGGGCUGUCAUGGCUUACCAAACCGAUGCAAACUCCGAAUACCGGCUAAUUGAAUCACGGGAGACACACGGCGGGUGCUAACGUCCGUCGUGGAGAGGGAAACAACCCAGACCGCCAGCUAAGGUCCCCAAGUACUAGUUAAGUGGGAAACGAUGUGGGAAGGCAUAGACAGCCAGGAGGUUGGCUUAGAAGCAGCCACCCUUUAAAGAAAGCGUAAUAGCUCACUGGUCGAGUCGGCCUGCGCGGAAGAUGUAACGGGGCUAAAACUAGUCACCGAAGCUGCGGAUGUGCGCGAAAGCGCACGUGGUAGGGGAGCGUUCUGUAGGCUGAUGAAGGUGCAUUGAGAAGUGUGCUGGAGGUAUCAGAAGUGCGAAUGCUGACAUGAGUAACGAUAAUGUGGGUGAAAAGCCCACACGCCGGAAGUCCCAGGUUUCCUGCACGACGUUAAUCGGAGCAGGGUGAGUCGGCCCCUAAGGCGAGGCUGAAGAGCGUAGUCGAUGGGAACCAGGUUAAUAUUCCUGGACUUUUUAUAAGUGGUGAAGUGGGGACGAAGAAGGCUAGGUGAGCCAGGCGUUGGUUGUCCUGGUACUUGCAUGUAGGGGGGAAGACUUGGCAAAUCCGGUUUUCCAUAACUCUGAGGUGCGAAGUGGUUCUGACCUUUUGGUACAGAGAAGUCAUUGAUGCCCGGCUUCCAGGAAAAGCUGCUAGCCAUAACUUAUAGAGAACCGUACCGCAAACCGACACAGGUGGACAGGUAGAGAAUACUAAGGCGCUUGAGAGAACUCGGGUGAAGGAACUAGGCAAAAUGGUACCGU
This 1353-nucleotide ribosomal RNA is filed under the name Legionella pneumophila str. 121004. RNAcentral describes it as "bacterial LSU rRNA". It matches the Rfam family "Bacterial large subunit ribosomal RNA", at positions 382 to 1731 of the family's 2925-position model. The record is from RNAcentral. Lineage: Bacteria; Pseudomonadati; Pseudomonadota; Gammaproteobacteria; Legionellales; Legionellaceae.